Molecule: long non-coding RNA, 2728 nt
Filed under: Homo sapiens (human)
Lineage: Eukaryota; Metazoa; Chordata; Mammalia; Primates; Hominidae
Description: HSALNT0318458
Source: RNAcentral
UGUUUUGUUUUUGACAGCCUCUGUUGCCCACACUGGAAUGCAAUGCUGUGAUGCAAGCUCACCGCAGUCUCGAACUCUUGGACUCAAGCCAUCAGCUCGCCUCUGCCUCUUGUGUAGCUAGGACCACAAGCAUGAAUGAGUACAACUUGCCCCUACAUUUAUUACUUGAAUGAUUUUCUCAAGCUAGCCAUGCCAACAGGCUUUGUUAGUACCAUUUUAUAGAAAAACGUGGGAUUCAGUGUUUUGCUCAGAGUAAUUGAUGAAAUUGGUGGAAAAGCUACCUGGGCUCAAUCUAGCUUAAAGUUCUAUGCCCUUUGCAUUAUGUUCCUAUUCUUUCUACAAAUAACGUUAUGAUUCUAAAAAGUUCAGGGAGAUGGGCAAAUAGGUUUGCCUUAAUCUUAAGAACCUGCUACGUGCUGGUGGUCCAUCAGUGAACAAAAUGGACAAAGGUUGUGCUCUUUUAAUCAAGUUAUAGAUGAAACAAACUUAAAAGCCAGUGCUGGAGAUAAGAGAUGAUUAAGCAAACACAAAAAUAAACAUAUCAUUAACCUUGGGUGGAUCACAAUGGAGGAAAUGACCAAUGCAAGAAUAGAAAACAACACAGGGGCCUGCUUAGACAAUGAGCAUCCUGUCAGUCAUAGUCCCUGUACAACUCUGAACAAGCAAAAUGUGAGAAUUAAACAUUGUAUCCACUUCCUGCUCUCAAGUUAGUUACAUUUUGAAAAAAUUAUCAAGAUUCUUUCAUAUUCAGUUUCUUUAUCAGAAAGAUAGAAUUCAUCUUUUGAAGAUAUUUUGAGGUUAGAUAAUUUUGGUUGUGAAAAUGCUACACACUCAGACACACAUUAGGGCUUUAUUAUAAAUGGUUAAAACACGACCUACAGAAACUAGGCAAAGUACUCAAAAUAUAAAGAUAAAUAAGUUGAAAUUCUUACUCUUGGUUAAAGGGUAAAACAUAUCCAUAAUUAGAAAAUUACAUUCUGCCAAGUAAAAUAUAGAUAAACAUAGAGGAGAAACAUCUAACACAUUAAACCUUACUGGAGGAUAUGACAUUCCUCCCUGGAGGAUAUGACAUUCCUCCAACGUGGCAAAAAGAUUCCUGGUAGAACAGCAGAGACAGAAAGAUGGAGAUGGGACACAGCAUUGGUUUCUGGAAGUUAAGUGUGGACCAGUGCUGGAAGUACUUGGAAGAAGUAAAAGGGAUGGAUAAUGGACAACUUUUCACGCUUCCCUGUUAUCUCAUUUAAUUUUCUCCACUUAUAAGAAGACCAGCUUCACAUGUUAUCAUGGCUAUUUCACAGAUUAGAAAACUUUUGAGCAACAGUAACAACAAUAAAAAAGAACACUAGAUUCUAAGAAGAUAGAUCUGAAUACUUCAGAUUAAAGAGUAAAUAACUGGAGGUGAGGUUGAGAAUGGGAAGAAAGCAGAAAUACAAAAUAAUAGAGUGAUGAUCACAUCCCAUGGAAAAGGAGAGAGACUGGGCUGAUGGCCGGAGAGGUAUAUGGUCAAGGGAGAUAUUUUGCUUUAUUUCAUUUACAUAUGUCUUUAUACUGAAGCUUAAAGCAAGGAGGAAAUAGAAGGUACUGAAGAAAAAUAAUGAUUAGGAGAAGAGACUAGAAAAUAAGAGAGGUAAGGAGCAGAGGUGAAGUUAUUACCCUUAAUGCUAAUAAGUUCGUCAGUGUGUAUUAAGUAUUUACUAUGUAUGAGAAUCUGUUGUAAGUGCAUUAACAUGUUUAUGAGGUAUAUACCAUUUUUACACAACUUUAAAAAAGAGAAAACUAAUGUACAGUAAAGGUAAAAUAAUUGUCUCAAUAUUACUGAGCUGGUUAAUGCUGUAAAUGGGACUCAAUCACACACCACUAAGCUCUAUGAAAGUAAAGGAAGAAAAAUAUUACUCAGUUUGUAAUUUGUGACAUUGCCAUGACCACACACUAUAUAUAAUAUUCGUUCAUCAAAUCUAGAUACUAUAGUGACAUAGUUUAGAUCUAAUUAACAAGAGUGUGUUGAAAGCAAAAUCUUAUUUCCUAAAGUACAAUCCCUGUUAAUUUUUGUUUUCCUAGCAGAAUGAGACAAAGGAAAAGCUAAGAUGAUUUUUUAAGCACUUCAGUUCUUUCCUCCCAAUAUAUGACUAUUUCUAUCAAAUACAAAGAUGUUACGCAAUUUGAAAAAUAUUUUUCAGUUUUGGCAUAUAUCUGCAAAAAGGAUGUUAUCUUCAAGAAUCAUACGUCUUUUGAAAAAUGUUUCCAAGUGAUUGUUCCUGAUGCUGCUCUGAUCAAAAAUCAGGUUUGGAUGAAUGAAAAGGACAUUCAUGAGAGACUCCAGAAGAACCAGGCCUUUUCAGUGAAAGUAAACAACUUACGGAAUAAAGACGAGUGUAGAUCUGCUCUGACAAUGAUUAAAGGAAAGAAGACAUAUUGAUCUACUUUUAGCUCAGAAUUCAUGCAAGAAAUAAGUUUUUGUACUAAAAUGGUUUUAAAGUGCCCCUCUCUCUGCUAGAGUGAACAGAGAAUGCUGAAAGCCACAAGAAAAGGCAUUCACCAAAGAGAACAGAGCCAGGAGAGAGCCUCUGGGAAAGAGAAGGCUUUAGAGACAUCGUUUUAACUUGGCAGUAAAGCAAACAAGCAACAUAGCCACAGGACUGUUGGAGUGCGACAAUGUUUUCUCUAGAAAUAAACACUCAAGUCUUAAGGAUUUGUUUUGAGCAAAUGCAUAAGAAAUAAAACUUUUAUU